Molecule: ribosomal RNA, 597 nt
Filed under: Mespilia globulus
Lineage: Eukaryota; Metazoa; Echinodermata; Echinoidea; Temnopleuroida; Temnopleuridae
Description: partial 16S ribosomal RNA
Rfam family: Bacterial large subunit ribosomal RNA
Source: RNAcentral
CGCUCCCCGCUAAUUAAUCAUAUGGGGAGUCCUGCCUGCCCAGUGACCAAGGUUAAACGGCCGCGGUAUCUUGACCGUGCAAAGGUAGCAUAAUCACUUGUCUCCUAAAUAGAGACUGGUAUGAAAGGCAAGACGGAGCUAAACUGUCUCUUUUUUUAUAAUUGAAAUUUACUUUCACGUGAAGAGGCGUGGAUAAAAUCGUUAGACGAGAAGACCCUGUCGAGCUUAAAGCAAAAAUUAGAACUAUUUAUACUAGUUUUCAUUUUACUAAUUUAUAAACUUACAAAACAAAACUUCAAUGCUUCUAAAAAAGCUUUGGUUGGGGCAACCGCGGAAAAAGAAAACCUCCCGCUAACAAACUAUUUAACUAAGGAAAGCCCUCCUACUAUCAAAAAUGAAUACAUGAUCCACUUUAGGUGAUCAAAGGAACAAGUUACCGCAGGGAUAACAGCGUUAUCUUUUUUGAGAGUUCACAUUGACAAAAAGGUUUGCGACCUCGAUGUUGGAUCGGGACAUCCUAAGGGUGCAGAAGCUUUUAAGGGUUGGUCUGUUCGACCAUUAAAGUCCUACGUGAUCUGAGUUCAGACCGGCGAAAGC